RNAcentral lists this ribosomal RNA (798 nucleotides) under Staphylococcus aureus. RNAcentral's name for it is "partial 23S ribosomal RNA". It matches the Rfam family "Bacterial large subunit ribosomal RNA", at positions 364 to 1164 of the family's 2925-position model. The record is from RNAcentral. Lineage: Bacteria; Bacillati; Bacillota; Bacilli; Caryophanales; Staphylococcaceae.
GUAAUAAUCCUGUAGUCGAAAAUGUUGUCUCUCUUGAGUGGAUCCUGAGUACGACGGAGCACGUGAAAUUCCGUCGGAAUCUGGGAGGACCAUCUCCUAAGGCUAAAUACUCUCUAGUGACCGAUAGUGAACCAGUACCGUGAGGGAAAGGUGAAAAGCACCCCGGAAGGGGAGUGAAAUAGAACCUGAAACCGUGUGCUUACAAGUAGUCAGAGCCCGUUAAUGGGUGAUGGCGUGCCUUUUGUAGAAUGAACCGGCGAGUUACGAUUUGAUGCAAGGUUAAGCAGUAAAUGUGGAGCCGUAGCGAAAGCGAGUCUGAAUAGGGCGUUUAGUAUUUGGUCGUAGACCCGAAACCAGGUGAUCUACCCUUGGUCAGGUUGAAGUUCAGGUAACACUGAAUGGAGGACCGAACCGACUUACGUUGAAAAGUGAGCGGAUGAACUGAGGGUAGCGGAGAAAUUCCAAUCGAACCUGGAGAUAGCUGGUUCUCUCCGAAAUAGCUUUAGGGCUAGCCUCAAGUGAUGAUUAUUGGAGGUAGAGCACUGUUUGGACGAGGGGCCCCUCUCGGGUUACCGAAUUCAGACAAACUCCGAAUGCCAAUUAAUUUAACUUGGGAGUCAGAACAUGGGUGAUAAGGUCCGUGUUCGAAAGGGAAACAGCCCAGACCACCAGCUAAGGUCCCAAAAUAUAUGUUAAGUGGAAAAGGAUGUGGCGUUGCCCAGACAACUAGGAUGUUGGCUUAGAAGCAGCCAUCAUUUAAAGAGUGCGUAAUAGCUCACUAGUCGAGUGACACUGCGC